RNAcentral lists this non-coding RNA (27 nucleotides) under Rattus norvegicus (Norway rat). Lineage: Eukaryota; Metazoa; Chordata; Mammalia; Rodentia; Muridae. The record is from RNAcentral.
UGAAACAGGUUUCCUCAGAUAGAGUUG